Molecule: RNA transcript, 1030 nt
Organism: Mirounga angustirostris (Northern elephant seal)
Lineage: Eukaryota; Metazoa; Chordata; Mammalia; Carnivora; Phocidae
Gene name: CUB and sushi domain-containing protein 1-like
Exons: 7
Source: RefSeq, a predicted model, not a curated record
AGCACCGCCCUCUCGCGGGGGCAUGCGGGCCCGCUGCCGCUGAGCCUCUCAGGGCCGGCGUCCUGAAGCGGUGGAGAGAUCCCCAACAUGGUUGGGGAAAGGGAGGUUGUGAAAGACGCCGUCUGCCCACGGAAGGGUGGGACGAUGAGGUUAACAGGAUUCCAUCUGCUGCCAUCAGAAACAAGUACCAAAUCUGUGUUCUCACUAUAUUUGACCACUGAUUUUGCAGUUAGUGUUCAUGGGUUUAAAGUUUAUUGUGAAGUAUCUCCUCUACAAAGAAGACUUGAAUACCUGAUAAGCUCAUCUCCUUCUGGGUUCCCCCCAGGUCUUUCUGCCUGCCAGAUUUGUGUUCUAGUGAGCUGUCUUCCAUAGAAUAAGAGGGUUGACUACCUGUUGGGGGAGCCGAGAUUGUCCAUCUGUGUGAUGACAAAUAUCAACAAAUUGUUUCCUGGAGUGUAGAAUAAAGGCCACUCAACAGAGGCUAAAGCAACGCGGGACAGGGUGCACACACGCCAGAGAGACACAGCAAGAAACAGAACACAAGCAGGGGGAGUGGGAGAGGGAGAAGCAGGCUUCCCGCGGAGCAGGGAGCCCGAUGCGGGGCUCGAUCCCAGGACGCCGGGAUCAUGACCUGAGCUGAAGGCAGACGCUUGACCGACUGAGCCACCCAGAUGUGAAAAUGACCGUAUACCAACUCACAGGACCAAUUUGAGAAUUUCAUUAAUAAGUAAGUGUGGUGAUGCUUUAUAAACGAUACACAGCACUACACAAAAAGAGAGAGAGAGAGAGAGACAGCGUGAGGAGGAACACAAGGAGGGGGAGUGGGAGAAGGAGAAGCAGACUUCCGGCCCAGCAGGGAGCCUGAUGCGGGACUCGAUCCCAGGACCCCAGGAUCAUGACCUGAGCCGAAGGCAGUUGCUUAACCAACUGAGCCACCCAGGUGCCCCAUAAACCCAUGUCAACUUUAAAUAACCAAACCAAGCCAAACCCACAAAACCUUUCUGUCCACAUAGUUGAAAAUCAUUAAUAA